This 1320-nucleotide ribosomal RNA is filed under the name Triticum aestivum (bread wheat). RNAcentral describes it as "partial small subunit ribosomal RNA". The record is from RNAcentral. Lineage: Eukaryota; Viridiplantae; Streptophyta; Magnoliopsida; Poales; Poaceae.
AUGGAGCACGGACGAGAUGAGCAAGCAGAAGAGGUGUUCGGGGACAUAAUCUUAGCCGGAGGUGAUAUCUUGUCGUAUCUUAACGACAAUGAUGGUCUGGAAGAACAGGGUGAAGAAGCUGGCUGCGGUGAUCGAAGAGUGGAGGAGGAAAGACAUGAUUAUGAUGGCUCCGGUGACCCAAUGCUGGUGCAAGAAGGAGCCCGUGGUGACGGCUCCGGUGACCGAACAGAGUCCGGCCAGCCCUCCAGAUCGAGCACAACUGCGGUAAAGAGACGAGGCCCGAAGAGAAAGUUGCGCUCGGAUGAAAGGUUUGAGAUCACAGCAAUCGCGCGCGACGGCCAACCGAUUGAACCCCUCCGGACAAAGGAUGCUUUUGCUGCUCAGUGCGGGGUUCUAGUUAGGGACAAGAUCCCGAUCAGCAUCCACCAAUGGUAUAAGCCUAAGAAGGAAGACCCUGAGGUGUCUUAUGUCAAUGAUAUGCAGAAAGAUGAUCUUUGGACUGAGCUGAAGGCAAAUUUCACCCUACCGCCAGAGGAGGAUCCGGAGAAGCCAGUUAUAGAGCAAUUAAUCAAGUCUCAUGCUCUUAAGAAGAUGGCAGACCUAUUCAGGAGGUGGAAGAAUGAGCUGAAAACGUUUGUCGACAAAGAAGAGACACCUGAAUUCAUCGGCCGGUAUGAGAAGAUCAGAGAUCACUGGCCCGCAUUUGUGGCCCACAAGACAUCGGAAAAGAGUAAGAAGAUGUCAGCGACAAACAAGAUGAAUGCUGCGAAGAAGAAGCUUCACCAUCGCACGGGGUCAGGUGGCUACCUCAAAGCCCGGCCUAAGUGGGCCAAGUCUGAGAGGGAUCUGCUUGAUAAAGGGAUUGAACCACAGACAAUGAACUCGACAGACCGUUGCCGGACUUGGUUCUUCGGGGCUGGCGGAACCUUGGACCCUGUAUCAGGGAGGUGUCGUUGGACGGACGAGCAACUUGCAAUACCCGUCAAGAAGAUUCAGCACUAUAUCGAUGCAGCACAGCAAGGGACGUUCGUUCCAGAUAGAGAGAACGACGAGCUCACAAUGGCCCUCGGGAAUCCUGAGCACCCUGGACGGACACGAGGCACGCCAGGCUCCGUUUCGUGGAAGGCUGGUUUUACGGACGCGGGCGGUUACAAAACCCAGGAGCGGAGGAAAAAAGUGGAGCAGAUCCAAAUUCAGCGUCUGCACGAAAGGGUUCAAGUGCUAGAGGAACGAGACGGCAAUAGAGAUGCCGAAACUGCCCCCGAAGCUACACCGCCAUCUCAGCGUAGAAGCAGCGUGGCUUCCACCGAGCUGCCUUAG